This 882-nucleotide long non-coding RNA is filed under the name Homo sapiens (human). RNAcentral describes it as "HSALNT0036400". Lineage: Eukaryota; Metazoa; Chordata; Mammalia; Primates; Hominidae. The record is from RNAcentral.
CAGACAGCUGUGCAGAGCGGCAGGAGGUCUCAUGCGCUCCUGGUGACAGCCAAACAGGAGCUGAUGCUGACAACCUCUUCUGGGGAUGCUGCUAUUGACUAAUGUGGAGUAACAGCCAACAAGGGAACAGUCCCGCGGAAAGAAGACCUGCCAGAAGAAUGCCACAUUCCAGGUUCCCUGUCUCCCAUCCUCUCCUACCCAGACAGAGAAACUGCCCAACAUGCUCUCCGCUAAUCCUUGUGACUGACACAAAGCUUUCCAGCAACCUAUGUCGUUUUUAGAAAUGCUGGGGAAGUUAUUUACAAGAGUCCUGAUUUCUCCCCACGGCAAAGCCCAUUUCUUCCACCUCAAAUAGUCAUUCAGGUAGUCUUCUUUAAAUGUGGUUAUCCUGCCGGUUAGGGCAGACAUCAAGCCCCUUUGUUUAAAUGCGCACCCACUCCCACCCCAGCCCUGGAUGAAACCCCUGGGGUAGACCAGCCCUAAUAAGGGAGGUAAAAAGUAUUUUGAAAGAGAGCUGGAGAAUACGAGCUGAGCCCACGCAACGGCUCCCAGGAAGAUGUCGAGGGGCUUCCAUGAAGAACUAGUUAAGGCGGGAGCUGAUCUGCAGAUAAAUCAGCAGCUCAGCAGCUUUCAACUCAGUCUUCAAACAUACUGCUCUUGCAAUGUUCUGAGGCUGAAAAUAGAUAUUCUGUCUCCAGAAAAGGAAGAAUUAGGAUGAGGCCAAGCUUGUUAGGAGAAACAAGAGAAGCUGGUAUUGAACCUGAUUAGACAGGAGCAUCUUGCUAGUCCCCUUUCCCAAGCUGUAAAAAGUUAAGAUGAAAAAAACCAGCAUGGCUCACAUUUCUUAUCUACUGUUAAUAUAGAGUUUAAAUUAAAACUCAG